GAGGAGCUACUACAUUGAGGGACUACUUUGGCCCUAAACCAAGAAGCACAAAAGUCGUGACUCGGGAAUUAGUUAGUAGAAACAUGGAAAAAGUGCAAGUCGAAUUAGAGGAGCGAAUGGGAGAACGCUUAAGAACGCUCGAAUGAGAACUUGCGAUUAUCAAACUACAACAACAACAACAACAGUCACAACAGGAGGACGCCCCUACAGAUGAUCCUACCCCACCUUUUGUUCGGGCAAAUGAACAAG
Molecule: long non-coding RNA, 249 nt
Filed under: Vigna radiata
Lineage: Eukaryota; Viridiplantae; Streptophyta; Magnoliopsida; Fabales; Fabaceae
Description: long non-coding RNA (VRAD_LNC012544)
Source: RNAcentral